UCGACCUCUUCUACUUGGAUCAGAUCAUUCAGUCGAGGCUAAGGUAGAUGUGGUCGUCACUCUACUUCAAAGUCAUUCCCUCAUUUUGUUCCUUCUGAUCACGAGCCUGAUGCCUAGUCUCCUUGAUCUUGAUUUUAAUGUUUUGUAUUAGCUGCUUUAGGUCUCAUAUUACUUGGUUAUUGUAUUUUGUACUUGGUUAUUGUAUGAGAA
This 210-nucleotide long non-coding RNA is filed under the name Elaeis guineensis (African oil palm). Its description in RNAcentral is "long non-coding RNA (EGUI_LNC041988)". Lineage: Eukaryota; Viridiplantae; Streptophyta; Magnoliopsida; Arecales; Arecaceae. The record is from RNAcentral.